UUUCAUAAGUGAAAUCUAUAAAUUCAGCAUAGCUUGUAUUUUGUGUCAUGACCACCUAUUCGUUACUAACUUCUGUCAAGUUUUUGUGGUGAUGAGAGUGGCUUCCAUUGAUGUAGAUUCCACUUGUGUCUAUGGAGGAGUAUUCAAAUCUUUUCCAAUAACAGCAAAUAAAUAUUUUGCCUUUGUUUCAUCUUGUACUCUACAAACAUCCAAGUCCUUAAUGAUGAUACAAAAACAUAGGUCUUCUACUGACCAGCUAGAAGCUGAUGUCAGAGGUACAUUCCUCACAAGUACUUCCUGUAAUGGAAUGAAGUCUCAUCCUAAAAUGUAAAACAGCAAAUUCUUCUGUUAUUUUCAUAAUUGUAUCCUUUCUCUCUGAAAGGAGAAGGUAGAUGAAGAAGAUCCCAGCAAAAACAAGGAAGCAGGAAGAAUGAAGGUUUUCCUGGAAAUAAACCAGAGAAAGAUAAAAUAUUUUCUUUUGAUUCUCCUUGAUUCUCCUUGAAUCACUGAUCAUGAUUUCAUUGACUAGAAAUCUAACCACUACAAUACUGAUGAAAGAGUGUAAACAAUUGAGUAUAUCGCAUUCAAAACAUUAGUGACCAGUCAUUAACAUUAGAGGUUAGUUGCUUACCAUGAUAAACAGGAAAAGCAUUUCAAAACCAAGGAAUCCUGUCCAUCUGAAACAUCCUUCAGUCACAGCACCUGAUGAUCGAGGUGUCUGAUUGAAGACUCCCCCCAAAGAUGGACUUGGUGACCCAUAUGAAGAGGACACAAACAUGAAGAUGCACAGAGCAUGCUGGAUGAUUCUAUUAUCAGUUUCCUAGUUUUUCUUGAUUUCGUGUUUUAUAAUGAUUCUAUCACAUUUGCGGGACUAAAUACUUAAUGUUAGUGUUAAAUUUCCUGGUUUCAUCAUACUUGUGUAAAUGAAUUGAAGUCUUCAGACUUAUUGAAUGGAAUUACACUCACUAGUCCACUUCAAAACUUGUGUAGAGCCCCAUCAGUCUCCCUGUGACAGUCAAGUACUGUGUGCCACCACUGCUUUUGAGUAAAAGAUAGGCAGAAUUAAUUAAAAAUAAUUUGUUUCUUGCAGAAGUGAGAGAAAGAGAGAGGCCUUGGCAUGGGUUAAAACAACAUGCAAACAUUAAUACUGGUGGGUUAAUCAUGCACUAUCUGGUUUAUCAGUAACUGUGAGCUGUACAGCAGUAGCAAGCAUUUGGGAGAAUGGAUCUUCUUGGGUUUUGCACAUUGGUUUUGUAGAACCUGGGAGAAUGAACGCUUGGAAUUGAAAGAUUCUUUCAGGUAGAUGAGAACUGAUGAAACUACCAGGACAGCAAUAAAGAUGAGGAAGCAAAAAGGACCAAGAGUCAUCUGGAGAUAAAAAUAGAGUAAGAUGAGUGACUUCCCUGGCAACACUUGCCCCUGUAGAUUCUUGCAAAUUGUUGAUUUGUCUCCAAGAAAUGAGAAAUACAUUUAUUUUAUCUUUUCAGUCUAUUCUUAAGGCAGCAGAGGCUGUCAGAACUCCAGAUACGUGUUUUAUAUGAAUGGUCUACAAGCGUUAGUGGUAACUAAAAUUCACAGCUUUGGUCAUCUACAAGAAUUUCAUCUUAAUUCCUGUUCAGACAAGCCUAGAAAAACAGUUUAACUUCAGAGAGUCAAAGAGAAAAUUUAAAUCAAAUUACAUACAACAGCAAAGGGGAAAAUCAUUCCGGUGAAAGUGAGGCCAAGCCAAAUGAGGAUUCCACCUAUUACAAAUGCAGAAGACCGUGCUGAGAGGGUGAAGAUUUCAUUCAUGACAGAUGAAACGGCUCCAGCUGGGGAAAAAAAACAACAACAUAAGAAGCAAUCAGAAACACUGCUGUGUGUUCUGUGGAGUUUGGGUUAAAUGCCCUUCUCAAAGGGAAUAAAUUGUUGUCACUCAACAAACACUGCGCCAGUAAAGUCAGACUACCACGAGAUCACAUAAAUCUGGGUAGCACAACCACCUCUAUCAGCAUUCACCUACCAGCUUCUAUAGACUAUGGAGAGAGAUGGACAUCCCUGAAAUGUAGUUUCUCUUCACCUAGGAUGUAUGAAAUAUGAAAGUGAAUGGUUCUAAUGGCCUGUUUCUCCCCUUUGCCUGUGAGUGCCAACUGGGUUAUGCUACCAUGGCAAUUCUGUUAGGUUUUAAAGGCAUCUGUAGCCUUUAGUAGCCUCUAGUCUUUCCAUGGCCUGUGUGUACCCCUGUGGUCUAAGUUUUGCUGUUGCUGCUUAUACCGUUAUACUCACCUGGUCCUACUCCAUAGGCAAUGAUGAAUAAAAAGAUAAGAAUAACAUUGCAGUAACGCAUCCAAAGGAACCGAUCCUAGACAAAGGCAGAAGGAGGGGUGAGAAUGACAAUUUCAGAGCUGUAGCACAGCUGAUCCAAACAUAAUGGAGAAGAGAUGCUGAUGAAAAAGCCCCCAAUGCUGAGGAACAGAUUCUCACUAGAACUACUUAUGUUUCUAUACUGAAAGCAGCAGAAGGCCAAAAGUAACCUGCAAUGUCACACCUACAGAAGUGAAAUGUACCUUGCUCCGAAAAAUAAGAAAUGAAUUCCAAGCUAGCUAUAGCAUGGGGAAAAGUGUAACUGAUUCAACCUAAUUGUCUUUUCCAAUUAGACAGUUUCAGAGAAAUGUUUAAAACCUGUGAAUCAGAAGAUGGUGUGUGAACAGAAAGGAGGCAAUAGUUUGUGGGCUGAGAUGAAGAUUGAAAUGCAGUGUCAACACUGGCAAGUCUCAAGCUGUGCCACUGGGUUCCUCUCUCCUUUCCACCACCCAUCUUGGGUUAGCCAGAGAGCUGCACUGUGUGUGUGCAGCUGGAUCAUGUACAUAAAGGCUGGAAACUGGUAGUGGUAGGAAGUACACACUGCUUCUGUCACAGGGCACAAGGGAUAGCAACCGGGAAAGGUGACAACAGAGAUGUUAUCUAGAGUUUUUUGGGGGCAGCAAAAUGACACAGGAAAGACUCAGAGAGAUCAGGCAGACAGAGCUGGAGGGAAGCUAUGCCUGACCGAUAGUUUUACAAUAUAUUUUUUGUUGGCUGUUUGAAAGAUUAGUUAAAGAAGAUGAAAUACAAGACAUGACAGAGAUAUAGGCCUUGCAAGAGGGGCUGUAAGUUUGUGUUCAGAAUAUAUUCUGACCUGCUCUUUUGGACGUCAGAACUAAGGCUGACUAUGUGCUGUCCUGCACAAAGAUUUCUGAUGCAGGUCCACCCCUAGAGAGACAUUUGCUUACACUCAGUAGAAGGCUUGUUUCAAGCAACACCAGUACCAGUGCCAUCAACAAAUAACCACCCCACAGGAGUAUUCGGCGUCCAAAACGAUCAAUAAUGGAGCUCUGAGAAGCAAAGAAAAAACAUAUAUCACUGGGCACGGCCAAGUCUAGCUGUGAGCCUUCUAACAGUUUAGAUAUUCUUCUUCAAUUCUCUUUACUUAAGAAAACACAAAUCAUGUUAGUAGCAAGUUAGUUAUUUUAUGGAAUUCCUUCUGGUCUCUCCAAUGCCAUGAAUUACACUUGCUGCCCAAACUCUGCAGCAGCUUUUUCAUCAACACUGUAAUCAAUGGAAGCACGUUAAGAUUCCAUUCAAAUAAAGAAUGAGAUACAUCAAUGAAUGGAAGUAAGCGUGCAUCUUUAACUUUGAAUGAUAUUUCAUUUAUAUUUAUAUGAAUAAGAUAAGGAUUUUUAUAAGAAAUUAUAAAGAAUGAAGAUGGGAAGGAACAUGUAAAAGAUGGGAAGAAACUUGGCAGAGACAUUAACAACCACUUCACAGGUUUAUGUGAUGCCACAGGAAAUAUCUUAAACUCACUAAGAAGAGAUAAGAAAGUAAAGAAAUAUAGACUUAAAUCACAUGAGGAAGAAUAGAUCCAAAUCAGUCUUAAAGUCCCAGCACGAUCUGACUUACACAGAAGAUGACGGAGAUGAGCUCAGAGACUGCAACUCCUAGAGCUACAUAUGGGAUGAUGCUUUCAUGGAGGUUGGCUGUCUGAAAAAUUUCCGAUGUGUAGAAAGUGAUCUGGGAAAUAAGAAGCAUUGUAAAAAUGAAGCAUAGUCAAUGGAUGCAGUAUGUUCUUAUCCUGCAUCACUUAGACCUAGAUUUGUCAUCACUGCGAUAGCAAUAGUAUAAUACUGGGGCUUAUUGGAGGUGAUGUAAUAGUUUAUUAUGUGGCCUUUUUGCAAUUAUUCAGAAGAAGAUGCACCUUUCCCCUGUCAACAAUGGACAGAAAUAACUCUGCCCACAUUGCCAGGCAGUGCCAUAACAGAGAGCCCAGCAAUGUCACAGUCCAGCAAUAUCACAGUAAAUACAGCUUACACUGAAAGACUCACAAGGAAAGUGAUAGAAAUGACACCUUGGGGAAUGCCUUUUACUGUACUGGGCUCAGCCACCUUAUAUGCACAAACAACUGAGAGGAAAUAUCUUAAUGGAUUAAUCUGCAUUACGAAAUGGGAUGAAAACUGAAUGGCAAUAGCUCAUCUGCUACUGUAAAGGUCAAAGAAAAUGAAUCUGUGGACUGCAGAAAUCUUCAGUGUAUUUAUAACCAUACAGAAUAUUUGGAGUUAUAAACAGGAGAAUGAAAGCAAGAAUUUCUGCUGAACUGGAUCUUUUGUAUUCCCAGCUUGGAAGUUCCCAUAAAGGUAUGAAGAAUACUGGUGGUGAUACAACAGGGCUUGCAGAGGAAAGUGGCAAGUUGGAAUUACAGUGAUUUGGUUGGAUAUGGGCUGUACUCAACUGCACUCAGGCCACAGAGCUGUAGACUCAGUAGAAGCAGGAGCAUGGUACACAGCUGUGGAUGCACAGAUGGUUCUUUCAGCACCUCUCGGACAUUCAUUAUUUUGGUGCCUUUUGUUACAGCCUUUUCCUUCACCAUGUCAUCAAAUUCUGUGCGAUAAUUCUCCUCUCCCCAGAGUUGCUUCAUGGCUAUAGAAGGGACAGAACGAUGCAUAUUCUUCCAUCAUCCAAUGUACUGAUCACUUACAGUUGAGUUCAUGCCUCGAUUCAUCAGUCACUGAGAACAGAACUAGAACAUUACUUACUGGAACCUGCUGAGACUCUCCUGGAAAAUGGCUUUCAACUUUUGUACUGUAUAAGGAUAGACCUUAAAUAAUUCUGACAAAUCCUCUUUUUCUUGAGCAGUAUAAUUCUAUGCUAUGAUCUUUGCAAUAUCUUUCAUUAUAUCUUAUGAGGAAAUCUGAAGCUGUCCAGUAAAAAAACAAUUACCUCUAUUCAGUUCGAUUUCCCAGGAGUUACAGUCUAAUAAAUUAGGGAUCAAAAAUUUUUCCUUACCUUUCAGGCAACCAUCCUUGUCUCCUUUUUGCAGAAAGAGAUACGGAGGAGACUCAGGAAAGAAGGGCAAAAAGAGCAGUUGGAUCAAUGCCACAAAGCCAGAAAAGGACAAUAGCACAUUCCACAUGUCUUCAGUUCCUAAAAGAUCUCUGUGAAGGCACACAAGAGUGGGUUUAUAGCCCAGUACAAUUACUUUUUAUAACUAGUUUGGUAUUUUCUGGAUCCUAGACUGGCAAACUAUAUACACAUAUAACUGUAAAGAAUAAAUUGAAAUAAAAUAUAUUUAGACUAGGGAAAGGAAAAAAGCCUGGUAUCUUAGUUCCACUGCAAGACUGAGAUUUUUCUCAUAAUUUGAGGAACAUCAGUGGAGCUUCAAUAUUCUCACAGCAGAUCUCUGAACAAAUACAGUAAUUCUGCUUGAGGAUAUCAAGAACUCAGCAGAGCUCUCAGGUCUCAUGGGCCUAUUAAGCUUAAAUAUACAUCUAUAAUUUGUUCUUAUUAACUUCAGCAGAGAGACUGCACCUUCACAGAUGGAUUUAAUCCUUCCUCGAGAAAUGUCUUCUUCUCCUCAGUGACUGACAAGGGAACCUCAGUGACUGGCAUGGGGCAGACAUUUCCAUUUUGUCAGCAAUAGUUAAGUGAAGAACAACCCCACCUUCUGUGUGUGUCUGUUUCUAGGACUGGAUUUUCCUGCCACACAGAAGACAAAUAGAAAAUAGGACCAGAAGGAGCAGCACAAGUACCGUAAUCCAAGAACUCUUGCUACAGCUUUUCCUAGUGCAAGAAACACAGAGGAGGUCACAUUUACAAAGCCACGCAACUUCUUAGGUGAGAUCUCUCCUGCAUACUGAAUAUGGGCAUUCAUAUAUACUCCUAAAAAGAAGACAAAGGAGAACUGAAGUGAUAGAAAACAAGAGUCCGUUUUUAUUUCACCUGCUCCACAAUAAGUACUGUGAAAAUGUACUUCCUACUUAGCUAAUCCAUCUGAUAUCUUUCUCAGUAAGAGUUCUUGAAGGCAAAGGACAUCUCAUCAUUAUAAUGUCCCUGCCCAGUGAACACACUGCACUUUGCAAUAGGCUUGAGCAGUCUGCUGCCUCAACAUGAGGUGUGAUCUUACCUUUUCCCAAUCUGUUCCUUGUUCCACUGGGGUUACCGUGCAUGCCUGGGUACUCCUAGCAGGAAGAUUUCUGUAUCCACCCCUAAGAAUUCACAUUAACAUGGAGUAAUGGGGAGUCCUACCAGCACAGAUGCCCUCGAGGAAGCGCCCAAUCAGGAUCAUCUCAAAGGACUUGGCUCUCCUACUGAAGCCAGUGUUCAGUGUGGCUAUUAUUAGGACCACAUCAUUGAUGAGAAGACAUUUCUUCCUACGACAGCAAACAACAUGUUGCAAAGGCUGCUUGAUUCCCUAUGCUGUAACCUUCAAACAUUCUGCGGCCGUCAGUGACGGGGCUAGAAGACAAGAUGUUGGAUACUCACCAGCUCUGAAAGGAAACCAGCC
Long non-coding RNA from Coturnix japonica (Japanese quail), 6796 nucleotides. RefSeq lists it as uncharacterized. NCBI's taxonomy places the organism in Eukaryota, Metazoa, Chordata, Aves, Galliformes, Phasianidae. The record is from RefSeq and is a predicted model, not a curated record.